RNAcentral lists this ribosomal RNA (460 nucleotides) under uncultured bacterium. RNAcentral's name for it is "partial 16S ribosomal RNA". It matches the Rfam family "Bacterial small subunit ribosomal RNA", at positions 338 to 795 of the family's 1533-position model. The record is from RNAcentral.
CCUACGGGAGGCAGCAGUGAGGAAUAUUGGUCAAUGGACGAGAGUCUGAACCAGCCAAGUAGCGUGAAGGAUGACUGCCUUAUGGGUUGUAAACUUCUUUUAUAUGGGAAUAAAAUAUUCCACGUGUGGGAUUUUGUAUGUACCAUAUGAAUAAGGAUCGGCUAACUCCGUGCCAGCAGCCGCGGUAAUACGGAGGAUCCGAGCGUUAUCCGGAUUUAUUGGGUUUAAAGGGAGCGUAGGUGGAUUGUUAAGUCAGUUGUGAAAGUUUGCGGCUCAACCAUAAAAUUGCAGUUGAAACUGGCAGUCUUGAGUACAGUAGAGGUGGGCGGAAUUCGUGGUGUAGCGGUGAAAUGCUUAGAUAUCACGAAGAACUCCGAUUGCGAAGGCAGUUCACUGGACUGCAACUGACACUGAGGCUCGAAAGUGUGGGUAUCAAACAGGAUUAGAUACCCGUGUAGUC